Molecule: ribosomal RNA, 468 nt
Filed under: uncultured bacterium
Lineage: Bacteria
Description: partial 16S ribosomal RNA
Rfam family: Bacterial small subunit ribosomal RNA
Source: RNAcentral
GACGAACGCUGGCGGCGUGCUUAACACAUGCAAGUCGAACGGAAAGGCCCUGCUUUUGUGGGGUGCUCGAUUGGCGAACGGGUGAGUAACACGUGAGUAACCUGCCCUUGACUUUGUGAUAACUUCUGGAAACUGGUUCUAAUACCGGAUAGGAUCUCCUGCUGCAUGUUGGUGUUUGGAAAGUUUCGGCGGUUGGGGAUGGACUCGCGGCUUAUCAGCUUGUUGGUGGGGUAGUGUCUUACCAAGGCUUUGACGGGUAGCCGGACUGAGAGGGUGACCGGAAAAAAUGGGAGUGAGAUACGGCACAGACGCGUACGGGAGGCAGCAGUGGGGAAUAUUGCAAAAUGGGCGGAAGCCUGAUGAAGAAACGGAGCGAGCGGGAUGAAGGCAUUGGGGUUGUAAACCGAUUUAGAAUGUGAAGAAGAGUGAGUGACGGUAAUGGGUAAAGAAGCACCGGCUAACUACGUG